UCCUAGGACCCUUACUAGGUCUUUUAAUAUGUACUUCAUACAUCAUUUAGAAAAAUUCAUUCAACAACUGCACACACAUUUGAUUACAAAUCACAUGUAACAAAUUCUUCAGAUCCACUAAGACGUCUAACGAAUAAGUAAACAAUUGCACGACAUGAAACUUCAGAUCCAGCGCACUCUGAACCGCCAUCAUUCUGAACUACCACAAAAGUUGAAGUCUAUCAACACACUUUCUCGUUUUGCAUUAUGUGCAUCUGGGACCCAAUUUCAAACCAUUUCCUGAUGGAAUGCUUGAAGUUUGUCCUGAAAAAAUUGUGAAAAUCAAUUUUCAGUGAACAAUAAAACUUAGAACUUUUAGUCUAAUAGUGAAUGGAACAAAUACGUACGGUGUUGUAUUUAGGCAUCGUCUUCCCCUCAUAGUCAACCAUACCAUUUCACACCUCAAUAUAUUUCAAAACCAAAACUCCACAAUCCCUACAUAAAUGAAAGCCCAUCAAAAUAAAUUACAUAUUCAUAUAGACGAACACUCACUUCCAAUUUCCAUAAAAAGUUUCCAUGGGUCUGGGCAGGAAGUGUAAUGUGGAUCACCACAAAUUCCUACUAGAGUCACCACAUACUAUCACUUUAUAAGUUGAGUGAUUUUUUGUGCUCAGUUCACACUGUCCUACUCUCAUGACUUCUAAGGAACUCAUUUAACUCACUUUCUCCCCACCUCAUGCCCCAUGCCCCUCCCCAACUAAGACGAACACUCACUUCCUUCAUAAAAAGUUUCUCUGGGUUUGUGCAGGAAGUGUAAUGUGGGUCACCACAUAUUCCUACUAGAGUCGCCAUUGUCACCCUCUAAAAACCUUAUUUAACUCACUUUCUCCCUAAAUCAGCCCCCGCCCCAACUAGAAUAGCUUCAAAAAAUGUCUUUUUUGGAGAAAAAAAUUACUAAAAAAGCAUACAUACUUACACAAACUAAGUAAACACAAAUAUAUACUUUUAACAAUAUAUUACACAAAAAAACAAUUCAUGCUGCAUAAAAUAACCAAAUAGUAAACUCAAACAACUAUGACCACAUCAGAUUCAAACAUAGACUUUGGCUCAUACAAGGGUCAGCACCUGACAAAUAACACGGAUCACCUAAUACAAAACACACAACAUGAAUGUUUCACUUAAUAAACAAAUGAAUAGAAAAUGUAUUACCUUUGGUCACCAAACUCUAAACCCACGCUAAAAGAGAAGUUGGACGAGAAACCUUGAGAAGAAGGUGGAAGACAACGAAGAACGUCACUUGCAGCAAGAACAUCAAGGAGAACGUCAAGGAGAAUGAAGGAUGCGCACAACACUUGCAGCAGUGAAGGACAAUACGCACGACACUUGCACGAGAAUGAAGGAACGUAAACAAGAAUGAAGGACAAUGCCUA
This 1409-nucleotide long non-coding RNA is filed under the name Phaseolus vulgaris (common bean). RNAcentral describes it as "long non-coding RNA (PVUL_LNC000264)". Lineage: Eukaryota; Viridiplantae; Streptophyta; Magnoliopsida; Fabales; Fabaceae. The record is from RNAcentral.